GUGGCAUGAGACUCAAUGCUCUUUGACUCAAUUGGACUCAAAGUUAGCAUAAUAUAAAGUAAAUCUGAAAUUUUUGGAUGCAUCGACGGGGGCAUUCGAUUCCUGGGCACCCAACCGGGCCGCCGCACGCAGGAAGGAAGAGCAGCAUCAGCCGGGACGAGGGUGGGGAUGGAGAACACGGCGUCCAUCUAGCGGAGCCUCCGUCCAUCCCUCACCCCUGAUGCCGCCGUCCUUCCUCCUCCCCAUCGGGGCCAGGCAGAGGAGGAGGAGCGCCGGCCACGAGCACGAUGAGGAGGCGACCGACAUCACUGUGCGUCGCCCGGCCAAGGUCUUCUCCCGCUGCUCUGGGUCGCGCGCCGCCUCUGCCGCCGACAGGAGGGGGCCGCGGCAACCGCCACGCAUCCCGGCGACCAGGGGCCCCCCGGCGUGGUUCCCUCAACGGAGGGAUGCUUCCUCCGUCCACUGCCUGCUCCGUGCCGACACCAUCAGUAGCGGCGGCGGUCGGGCUGAUGCGGACUCCGCGCCACCACUGACGGCUUCGCCACGGACCGCAUCGUCUCCGACCAUGGCGAAAAGGCGCCCAGCGUCGUCUACAGCGGCACCCUCUUCGGCCCUGACCUAGUCACCGGGAUGCUCAUCGCGCUCGUUGGAUUCGGGCUCUACAAGCUUCGAUUCCCAAGUGUCAUGAAAUGUAUCAAAAUCGGUCUUCCAGAGAUCAUACUGCUGGUAGCUCUUUCCCAGUACAUACCUCAUCCGGUGCCUUUGCUGGGCACUGCCUUUGAGGGGUUCGCCGUCAUAAUGUCCGUUGCUGUCUUGUGGAUUUACGCGUUCUUCCUGACGGUUGGCAGGGCGUAUAAGAAUGUUGCUCCACCUGACCAUCCCGAUACUGCAGGAGUGAUCGGUACAGCCAAUGCAUCGCUACUGGAGUACUGGCCCUUUUGGUGUGAGUAUGGCUGGAUUAUUUGCUUCUUUCAUGAUGAAGAAAUGGUCAUAGCCAUGGGAGUUUCCUCUUGGCGAUGAUAGCCGGUUCAUGUUGUACGGCUUGGUUGAGCUCAAGGUCAAUGGAUACGGCAAUUGUCAGCUAUUUUGUGUUUCUGGUUCUAUAUAUAUACUGGUUGGAUGUUGACAAACAAUUUCCAUGCCUUCUUUUUCAAUGGGUGUAUGCUCAGCCAGGGUUAGAAGCAGUGGUCAUCCUCGACCUCACGCCGCCCAUCUAGACAGAAGAAGAUGGGUGCUGCGGGCGACGAGGCUGACGCGCCAUCGUCCUGUCUUCUGUGAGGGGAUCCAUCAUGAGGAACCAGCGGACGUGAUAUGGGUACCCGAUCCUUACUGCGGAAUCACCUCUUCUUGUGGAUGGUUGCUGAACAGCAACAGUUCCAUCUCCAUCCCCAACGCAUCCUUGCCUCAUCUUGAUCUGCAAUGAACCAGAGCUCAUAGAAAGAGAUUUGAUGUGAUGAUUGAGGUGGAAGGCUACCUUAACCUAUGGAUCAAAGGUCGUCGGUGCUUUGUUGGUUGCUGGAUUUUCCUUAUCUGCCGGCAGACCGCACCGGAGGCCGCCGCCAUAUAGGGGCUGAUGAGGGCAUCGUGAUGAGGUGAGCCUCCUUCAGCCAGUGCGGCUCCCCUUCGUGGUGCCGAUUCGUCUUAGCCUCUCUCUCUCUCACACACACACACACACACAGAGAUGCUCCUUCCAUCUCCCGUCGUGCAGGUUGCCGCUUUUGCCAUAGCAGAGGGGAUCCAGCCGGCACGCUGCGUCUCCCAUAAACAUGCCUAAUUUAUAUGCAGAGGUAGCAUUGAUCUACUUGCCCCCUUCAAAAGGCCAUAUGUGUUGCUUUGUUUUACUUCUCUUUCAUAUCCAGUUAUUUAGAAAUUCCCUGCUAACCUCCUGGCACUUAAAUACGAUUAGGUAUAAUGUGAAGCAUUUGCUUGACAGAGGUACCUAUUGCUGGAUCAUUUAUGUUGCUAUAUGUUGCAGGAAUGUAUCCAUGAACUGGGAAACAUGUGAACUCUUUGUUGAUACGCCUUUUAUGUGUUGCUUUUGGUCUUGAUAGAGGUACUUGAGCCUCUUACAUGCUCUUGUGUGCAAUUUUUUAAUUCUAAAAUAGUACAUUCAAUUGAAGGCUAGAGAAGAUUUAGUGGUUAUAUCAUGAGUCACUACAAGCGCCUAUUUAUUGAAACAUUUUCCCAGUUGUUUCACUACAAGCGCCUAUUUAUUGAAACAUUUUUCCCAGUUGUUUCACUACAAGCGCCUAUUUAUUGAAUCAUUUUCUUCAAACUUGCACCAGUAAAUAUUUGUAGCUCUUCACGUUGUCUAAUCAACAUGUUAGUUUUGAAUGCUUUGGUGAAACCUAAGCAGUAAACUCAUGGCCACACUCUCUCAAAUGGUGAAACCACUUCUUAUGUAACCACCACUCUUGUUAUCGAGGUUCCAAAUGGUUUUGCCUAUAUUUUUUUAUGUUGGUACUUCUUAUGUCAAGGUAAUAGAUUGUGACCUCCAUUUUGGUUCAGGUUAGGCUUUAAUAUUUGUGAGUCAAUUAUAGGUGUCGAUUACAUUGGUAAGAUAGAAGCCAAUUAUGAAGUCUUUCUGUUUAGAUAUGUAGAUGUAGUCUUUCUGUUUGUGUAUAAGAUAAUUGCUUUAUCUAUUUAGUCGAUCCUUGUUGUUUUUUGAAAAUAGAUAGUGUCCAUGAUGGAGUUGAAGUUACUGUGAUAAUUGGUUCAUCAAUUUAGCUAAUCCUUACUAUUCAGUAAAAAAAGUUGGUCCUUUUGAUUCCUGGUACCAAUUUGUUUGUCCUGUAGAGUGAGUACAUGAAGGAAAAUACUUACCAAAACCUUUAUUUUGCUGGCAUGUGAUAUUUUUUCUUGAAAGACAUGUGAUAUUUAUCUGUUGAUGCAUGUGUCUUAUGUUGUUUACUUGUCAGUAACCUCUAUGGAGUAUUUAGGCAAUAUGUUGCUUAUAAGAAUGUAAUCAAAUUAUUAAUUUGCUCCAUUCUAGGGAGGAUGAAAUCUGAUUAUUAACUUAUUUCAUUUCAGGGAGAUACAUUGACAGGAAGUGCUCACUCGCUAAAAUUUUUUCUAUCAGGGGCAUAAUUAUUGUUGAAACACGCACCGUGUGAAGAUGAAUAUGAACCUUUCAUAAUUAUUCCCAAACAUGCCACUAUGUCAUCAUUGGCCAGUGCAGGUAUUGCUCUCUAGCUGAUAUAUUGUUUAGUUCUUCUUGGUUUCAAUUAUGUUGGCCCUCCUUAAGAUUGUUUGGGAAUGUGAGGCUUUAAAGUUUCAACCUUGUGCAAGGCUCCAAAGCUUUACCAGUUUUCCACUUGCUUCAAAUGAAUUUGUCACUGAAGAAACCAUGAAUUCUUUUGUUUUCUUUUUGACCUACACAUAACCUUUCAUGGGAAGAUAGUGUGUCAUUUCCCCAUUAGGGUUGGAGUACUUGAUGUAUGUGUUGUAUUAGUGACGUGGUCGUAACAAGCAACCAUAAAUAUUGUUUUUGAUUUCCUUGGAUGAAGACACGUUUAUGUGACAACCAUAUGUUUACUAAUACAUAGUGGUGUUUCGGAAACUGGUGGUUACUUUUGUUUGUUGACAACCAAUUACUGUGAUUCCAGGAACUCUUAGAUUAUACAAGUCCCUAUGUUUGUUUGGAUUCAUGAACCAUGGGACUAGACUUUCAUUCGAUGCCACUAGCUCCUGUGAUGCACCGUGUAAACUACCAUGUGAUCUCCCUCUUCUUUUGUGAAUGCGUCCCUUUUGUCACAUCUAUCCAUCCUUUUGUACUUGAUAUCUACCGUGUAUGAACAAUUGUAUCCUUUAAUUUACCAUGUAUAUGAACAUUGCAUCCUCAAA
This is a long non-coding RNA of Triticum aestivum (bread wheat), 3843 nucleotides long. RefSeq lists it as uncharacterized. Lineage: Eukaryota; Viridiplantae; Streptophyta; Magnoliopsida; Poales; Poaceae. The transcript is spliced from 10 exons. The record is from RefSeq and is a predicted model, not a curated record.